RNAcentral lists this unclassified non-coding RNA (2133 nucleotides) under Hevea brasiliensis (rubber tree). Lineage: Eukaryota; Viridiplantae; Streptophyta; Magnoliopsida; Malpighiales; Euphorbiaceae. The record is from RNAcentral.
AAACAUAUAAUGUAUUUAAUAAAUAGAAUUCUCUGUAUAUCCUGUAUAUUAGGUCUAUAUGCUGUGCGCUACUGCACACUUCCAUCUCUAUAAAAACCACUGAAAAUGAACCAUUCGCUACUUUCCCACUUACCAAGUAUACACAUAGCAAAAAGAGACUAAAAGGAGCUUAAGCUGUUGGACUUGUACUCUUGUCUUUAAUGGCUUUUAAUAAUGUAUCCCGGGCAGUGGCGAUGAGUUUCUUCUUCUUGAUACCAGUGAUAAGCUUCAAAUAUUCCAAGGCUCAAAUGGUGCCAGCGCUGUUCGUUUUUGGUGACUCUCUAGUAGAUGUUGGCAACAACAAUUACCUUCCAUUUUCCAUUGCCAAAGCAGAUUUUCCUAAUAAUGGGAUCGACUACCCCGCCAGAAUACCAACUGGGAGGUUUAGUAAUGGCAAAGUUAUUGCAGAUUUUCUAGGUAAGUUUUAAAACAUUUCGCACUAUCCUCCUUUCAUCCCCUCCAACGGAAGCGUUUGAAUCCUCUUGAGCUUGGAAUCCUCUUGAGCUUGGAAAGUUCAUCUCCAUCUCAAAGGAUUCUGGAUAACAUAGAGCAAUUGAUCCAAGCUUGUAUUGAUUAUUCCUUUUUCACAUACCAAAUUUUUAAAAGGCUUGCCAGGGCUCCAAUAGGAGGACAGGGCACUUUACUGGCAGCUAUAGUAUUGAUUAUUUGAAACCUAACUCAACAAAUGUCCGGAGAAGCAUUAAAUUAUAAUUUCACAUAUUACUGUUGUACCUGCUACCUCUGCCCGUCUUUUAUUGCACGUGUAAACAUGGUUUCGCAAGCCAAUCCCAAUUAAUAGGGUCACCAUUACACUUCUUUGGUGCAGCUGAGAAAGUGGGCUUGCCGACUUCCCCACCAUACUUGUCUUUGUUAUCCAACAACAACAAAAGAUCGUUUCUGACUGGCGUAAACUUUGCCUCUGGAGCUUCAGGAAUCCUCAAUUCUACAGGUCAAUCCCUUGGUAUGGUAAUCCCUUUGACAAAACAAGUGGACUACUAUGCAUCUGUUCAUAAAGAUUUGCUGGAAAAGCUGGGGUCCUCUGGAGCACAAAAUUACUUGUCCAAGUCUCUCUUUGCUAUCGAUACUGGCAGCAAUGAUGUCUUAAGUUAUUCUGAUUCAUCUCAUCUCCGCGAGAAGAGCACCCCACAGCAAUACGUGGGUUUGAUGAUUCACACACUGAAAUCACAAAUGAAGAGAUUAUACAUUUAUGGUGCACGUAAAUUUCUGAUCCCUGGGGUGGCGAGCGUGGGAUGUGCUCCAUCGCGAAGGAUUGAGAAUAGAGCAGGAGAAUGCAACGAAGAACUAAAUGCUUUGUCUAUUAAGUAUAAUGAAGGCCUUAAGUCAAUGUUACUGAAGUUAAAAUCAAAGCUUAAGGACAUAAAUUACUCCUACUUUGAUGCUUACAGUUUCACGCAGAACAUCAUCCAGAAACCAGCUGCUUAUGGAUUUUCUGAGGUUAAAGCUGCUUGCUGUGGUCUCGGGAGGCUGAAUGCCGAUGUCCCCUGCAUUCCAAUUUCAACCUAUUGCUCCAAUAGAAGCAAUCAUGUGUUUUGGGAUAUAGUUCAUCCAACGGAGGCAACAGCUCGCCUUGUUGUGAAUACGAUCUUCGACGGUCCAUCACGGUACUCAUUUCCCAUUAAUAUAAAGCAGCUUAUCGCAGUUUAAGCCCAGCAAUAUGAAUGGCUAUCAUAUGUAUUCACUGAAAAAAUGUCUUUUCUUCCUAUCACAUCCACAGGUGCACCCGUUGUCCGAUACAGUGGGAUGAUUUUUUUUUCCUUUGUUUAAUUAAAUAAAUUACUAUAAAUUUUAUAAAAAUAACAAAAUUUUCCAUUGAAUAAUUAGGUUAUAAUAUUAUAUUCUUAAUCAUUUUAAAAUUUUAUUAAUAAUUAAAAUAAAUAUAAGGACUUUGAGAUUGAAGAUGUUUUAUAGGUUGAUCAUGUUAUAAAUUGUAAAGGUGAAAAUCACAUUGUUAAGUAGCAUUCAGUUGAAAUAAGAUCUCUAGUUAUUACAGUAAUUUUUGUCCUCAAUAUCAUAUGAUGAUUAAAGUUGAUCCAUGGAAACUGAGAAAGAUUCAUGAAUUUUUUUAAUGAAAUA